This 73-nucleotide transfer RNA is filed under the name Paramuricea clavata. It matches the Rfam family "tRNA". From Rfam's summary of the family: Transfer RNA (tRNA) molecules are approximately 80 nucleotides in length. Their secondary structure includes four short double-helical elements and three loops (D, anti-codon, and T loops). The record is from Rfam by way of RNAcentral. Lineage: Eukaryota; Metazoa; Cnidaria; Anthozoa; Malacalcyonacea; Plexauridae.
CUUGCGAUAGCUCAACUGGUAAAGCGGAGGACUGUAGUCCCUUAGGUCGUUGGUUCAAACCCAGCUCGCAAGA